ACAUGCUAAUUUGAUUUCGACUCAAAAUUUUAAUUAGUCUUUAAUUCAUGUA
Molecule: transfer RNA, 52 nt
Filed under: Megaspilidae sp. ZJUH_2016022
Lineage: Eukaryota; Metazoa; Arthropoda; Insecta; Hymenoptera; Megaspilidae
Description: tRNA-Arg
Source: RNAcentral